AGCGAACGCUGGCGGCAGGCCUAACACAUGCAAGUCGAACGAACUCUUCGGAGUUAGUGGCGGACGGGUGAGUAACACGUGGGAACGUGCCUUUUGGUUCGGAAUAACUCAGGGAAACUUGUGCUAAUACCGAAUGUGCCCUUCGGGGGAAAGAUAUAUCGCCCUUAGAGCGGCCCGCGUCUGAUUAGCUAGUUGGGGAGGUAACGGCUCACCAAGGCGUCGAUCAGUAGCUGGUCUGAGAGGAUGACCAGCCACACUGGGACUGAGACACGGCCCAGACUCCUACGGGAGGCAGCAGUGGGGAAUCUUGCGCAAUGGGGGAAAGCCUGACGCAGCCAUGCCGCGUGAAUGAUGAAGGUGUUAGGAUUGUAAAAUUCUUUCAUCGGGGACGAUAAUGACGGUACCCGGAGAAGAAGCCCCGGCUAACUUCGUG
Molecule: ribosomal RNA, 433 nt
Filed under: uncultured bacterium
Lineage: Bacteria
Description: partial 16S ribosomal RNA
Rfam family: Bacterial small subunit ribosomal RNA
Source: RNAcentral